AAAGUUGAGAUACAUGUUAAAGACCUCCUCAUCCUAUGGCUUACUUUACCAAAUUAAGAACUCUUUCCUCCUCAUUCUACGUCAUUAUUUCAGCGGCAGUUUCAAUCUCAUUUUUUUUCUCUGAUUCAAAAAUUUAAAUCAAGGUAAAUUUUUCCCCUAAAGUCAUAUUCAAUUUCUUCCAAUCUUAUCUGACGAUUUUUUUUCAAAUUGCAAUAAUUUGGCACUGUUUCUUCCAAUCUUAUCAGAUGAUUCUAUUGAAAAAAAAAUAAGGGACCAUGUUGAAUUUUUCUCAAAAUUAUAAUCCAAAACCUAGUGUUUAUAUUGUCUUGUUCCUCGGUAUAUUGCCUUCAAAGCCCUCUCUGGGAGCUUUUUGUAAGUUCUUUUUCCCCAAUGAUUGAUGUGUCUUUUGUUACUUAACUCUUAAAUUUCAAUUAGAUUUUUGAAUCAUGCCCAUGCGUGUUUUUAUGAUUGCUAUUUUCUGCUUUAGUAAUUUGUAGCUUCAUACGUAACAUAGCUAUGAUACUUGAAUGUGUUUGACAAGUGUUGGGUUCAAUAUUUCUUGUAUCUCUAUUUUUGUUGUUAUAGGUAUCUAUUGUUUUUUAAGUUUUAGUGAAAUAGGCAUAUCAAAUAUACAUGUUAGUAAGCUUUAAGAUAUAUAUUGUGUAUGAGAUUGUUUUGUAUGUAUCUCACACUAUUUUUGUUUUGAUUCAAUUAUUUAUACCAAAGAUACAUAUUCUAUAAAACAAAAAAUACAUUUUAAGCUUUUUGUCUAUUUGAUUUUGUGUUAUUGUGGAUUUAUGUAUCUCUUGUUAUUUCAGAUCUGGGUAAUUUUAGGCUUAGAUACAUAUAUAGACAUACAUGAUAAUUUUUUCAAUAUCUUGUAUCUCUUGUUAUCUAUUUAAGUUUUAUAUGUAACUCUUGUUUUUAAGUUUUAGUGAAAUCAACAUACUAAAGAUCAAGUUAGUAAGCUUAAAGAUACAUAUUGUGUAUGAGGGGUAUGUUAUAUGUAUCUCGCAUUAUUUUUUUUUUUUUUUGGAUUCAAUCAUUUAUAUCAAAGAUACAUAUCGUGUAAAACAACAGAUACAAUUUAAGCAUUUUCUAUCUAUGUUAUUGUGCCAUUGUAGAUGUUUGUAUCUUUUGUUAUUGCCUAUAUAGAUUUUCUUGAUGUUCAUACUUCUCUAUAUUUUUCUUUGCAGGUUUGCCCCAUAUUUAAUGAUGAGGUUUCAUCCACUAAUGUCACCAAGGAUCUUUAGCUCUAUGACACUUUGUAUUAAACCAAAUUAAUGUAUUGAAAGCAGUCAAAGAUUUAUUGAAUAUGUCAAGAAAAAUGCUCAAGUUUUUCAUUAACAUAUUCCACUGACAUAAAUUCUAUUUGAAUUGAGGUGUAUGACCUUCAUGUAUGUUUAUUGAGUAUCUUUAUAUAUGAACUUCCACUCUGUUCAGAAAACAAACUACUUUCGUUUCUAAGAUGACCAAAGACGGAUCCAGAAUUUUGAAUGCA
Molecule: long non-coding RNA, 1501 nt
Filed under: Capsicum annuum
Lineage: Eukaryota; Viridiplantae; Streptophyta; Magnoliopsida; Solanales; Solanaceae
Description: long non-coding RNA (CANN_LNC005158)
Source: RNAcentral